GGGGUUGUGGCUUUGAGGUAGAGCGCUCGCCUAGCAGGUGUGAGGCACUGGGUUCAAUCCUCAGCACCACA
This 71-nucleotide transfer RNA is filed under the name Marmota monax (woodchuck). RNAcentral's name for it is "tRNA.Ala". Lineage: Eukaryota; Metazoa; Chordata; Mammalia; Rodentia; Sciuridae. The record is from RNAcentral.